UGGGGAAUAUUGCACAAUGGGCGCAAGCCUGAUGCAGCCAUGCCGCGUGUAUGAAGAAGGCCUUCGGGUUGUAAAGUACUUUCAGUCGGGAGGAAGGUGGUAAGGUUAAUAACCUUAUCAAUUGACGUUACCGACAGAAGAAGCACCGGCUAACUCCGUGCCAGCAGCCGCGGUAAUACGGAGGGUGCAAGCGUUAAUCGGAAUUACUGGGCGUAAAGCGCACGCAGGCGGUUGAUUGAGUCAGAUGUGAAAUCCCCGGGCUUAACCCGGGAGUUGCAUCUGAUACUGGUCAGCUAGAGUCUUGGAGAGGGGGGUAGAAUUCCAUGUGUAGCGGUGAAAUGCGUAGAGAUGUGGAGGAAUACCGGUGGCGAAGGCGGCCCCCUGGACAAAGACUGACGCUCAGGUGCGAAAGCGUGGGGAGCAAACAGG
RNAcentral lists this ribosomal RNA (429 nucleotides) under Chloroflexota bacterium. RNAcentral describes it as "Chloroflexi bacterium partial 16S ribosomal RNA". It matches the Rfam family "Bacterial small subunit ribosomal RNA", at positions 355 to 776 of the family's 1533-position model. Lineage: Bacteria; Bacillati; Chloroflexota. The record is from RNAcentral.